RNAcentral lists this ribosomal RNA (492 nucleotides) under uncultured bacterium. RNAcentral's name for it is "partial 16S ribosomal RNA". It matches the Rfam family "Bacterial small subunit ribosomal RNA", at positions 29 to 507 of the family's 1533-position model. The record is from RNAcentral.
AGUGAACGCUGGCGGUAGGCCUAACACAUGCAAGUCGAACGGCAGCACAGUAAGAGCUUGCUCUUACGGGUGGCGAGUGGCGGACGGGUGAGGAAUACAUCGGAAUCUACUUUUUCGUGGGGGAUAACGUAGGGAAACUUACGCUAAUACCGCAUACGACCUACGGGUGAAAGCAGGGGAUCUUCGGACCUUGCGCGAUUGAAUGAGCCGAUGUCGGAUUAGCUAGUUGGCGGGGUAAAGGCCCACCAAGGCGACGAUCCGUAGCUGGUCUGAGAGGAUGAUCAGCCACACUGGAACUGAGACACGGUCCAGGCUCCUACGGGAGGCAGCAGUGGGGAAUAUUGGACAAAGGGCGCAAGCCUGAUCCAGCCAUACCGCGUGGGUGAAGAAGGCCUUCGGGUUGUAAAGCCCUUUUGUUGGGAAAGAAAAGCAGCAGGUUAAUACCCCGCUGUUCUGACGGUACCCAAAGAAUAAGCACCGGCUAACUUCGUG